This 501-nucleotide ribosomal RNA is filed under the name uncultured bacterium. RNAcentral's name for it is "partial 16S ribosomal RNA". It matches the Rfam family "Bacterial small subunit ribosomal RNA", at positions 30 to 523 of the family's 1533-position model. The record is from RNAcentral.
AUUGAACGCUGGCGGCAGGCUUAACACAUGCAAGUCGAGCGGGGGAAGGUAGCUUGCUACCGGACCUAGCGGCGGACGGGUGAGUAAUGCUUAGGAAUCUGCCUAUUAGUGGGGGACAACAUCUCGAAAGGGAUGCUAAUACCGCAUACGUCCUACGGGAGAAAGCAGGGGAUCUUCGGACCUUGCGCUAAUAGAUGAGCCUAGGUCGGAUUAGCUAGUUGGUGGGGUAAAGGCCUACCAAGGCGACGAUCUGUAGCGGGUCUGAGAGGAUGAUCCGCCACACUGGGACUGAGCCACGGCCCAGACUCCUACGGGAGGCAGCAGUGGGGAAUAUUGGACAAUGGGGGGAACCCUGAUCCAGCCAUGCCGCGUGUGUGAAGGAGGCCUUAUGGUUGUAAAGCACUUUAAGCGAGGAGGAGGCUACUCUAGUUAAUACCUAGGGAUAGUGGACGUUACUCGCAGAAUAAGCACCGGCUAACUCUGUGCCAGCCGCCGCCGUAA